AAGGUUUCCGUAGGUGAACCUGCGGAAGGAUCAUUAUCGAGUUCUGAAACAGGUUGUUGCUGGUCUUGUGUAAUAUCUCAAGUCAUGUGCACGCCUGGCUCAUCCACUCUUUCAACCUCUGUGCACUUAUUGUAGGUUGGUAACAAGGCUGUUUGAGAUUUUAUUAUUUCAUCAGCUUGAAGACCUUCCUAUGUUUUAUUACAAACGUUUCAGUUAUAGAAUGUUAAUCUUUGCGUAUAACGCAUUUAUAUAUACAACUUUCAGCAACGGAUCUCUUGGCUCUCGCAUCGAUGAAGAACGCAGCGAAAUGCGAUAAGUAAUGUGAAUUGCAGAAUUCAGUGAAUCAUCGAAUCUUUGAACGCACCUUGCGCUCCCUGGUAUUCCGGGGAGCAUGCCUGUUUGAGUGUCAUGGAAUUCUCAAUCUUGAGUAUUUUUAUCAUUAAUAAUACACAAGACUUGGACUUGGAGGUUUUUUAAUUGCUGGCUCUUGUUAGUCAGCUCCUCUGAAAUGCAUUAGCGUGCAUCUUACGGAUCGCCUUCGGUGUGAUAAUUAUCUGCAUCGUGGUCGUGAAGUAUAUUUAUGUUCACGCUUUAUAAUAAUUGUCCUUGAAAAGGGAUAAUAUCUUUGACUUUUGACCUCAAAUCAGGUAGGACUACCCGCUGAACUUAA
Molecule: ribosomal RNA, 670 nt
Filed under: Rhizochaete belizensis
Lineage: Eukaryota; Fungi; Basidiomycota; Agaricomycetes; Polyporales; Phanerochaetaceae
Description: eukaryotic LSU rRNA
Rfam family: 5.8S ribosomal RNA (bases 256-409)
Source: RNAcentral